CUUAACUGUGAUCAAAAAAAAAAAAAAAGAGGAGGGGAAGGUCUCAGGUAAAGGGAUCAAACAGAGAAGGUCCUAUGAGGAGAAGCCUUGACCCUGCUCUAUCUUUGACCCUCAGAUCUCCCAACCUUCUCCUUAAGAGACCUGCCCAAUCCGUGAUCUGCUGGCCAUCACUACUGCCCAGAAAGACCAUUCUGAUAGGGGCGCCUGGACUGAGGACUCCUGGUGAUAUCCCCAACCCAGACCUCAUGGAUGCCUAUAGGAAGGAGAACACGCCACCCUGGCCAGGAGGCCACCUGAAGUCAGGACAACGCCUGGUUCAGAAGAAUGUGGGCGUCAGCCUCUCUGUAGGCAAUGGACGAGAUACCAAGAUGGUGUCUUGCCGGACUCAAAGCAAAAGGACUGUCCCUGCCAUUCUACCAGGCCUGGGGCCAGGCCGCAGGUUGGAGCUGGGGAGGCCUGUGGUCAGCAGGAAGCUCUCGGCCUUGGUUCAGACCAACCUGGCUCCUGCUGGCCAGCCCCUGCAAGAUGCCACAAGCCUGGUGAGUAACUCUGGCUUUGAGCAACAGAGUAACCUGCAACCCCGGGCCUGGAGGCCAAGGGCAUCUGGGCCUUGGAGAGGGUUUUCCUUCCAGCAAAGCAACAUGAAGCUGAGCAGAGCAGACCCGGAGAGGAGAGGGGGACACAGGAGUCCUCAGACACUAGAGAGGUCAGACGGGAACCUGGCAGGUUGCUCGCGGGAACUCUUGUGGCCCCGACGUUCUGGAAGUGCUUCCUGGCUUGGCAGGCCAAAGAGCCAGACCCACGGAUACCCAUUUCCAAGGGAUAAACCAUCAUCAUCUUCAUUCCCUAGCCUUGGGAACACUGUGCAGGUCUCACCAAAAGCCACAAAGGCUCAAGGGUCUGAGCUGAGCCCUCCCCCUCGGUCUGGGCAUCAGGAUUGUCUUGUCCAGCCCAGCCCAAGACUGCGGAGUACCUCAGGUUGCUGGGCCCCAGAUCCCGUGAGAUGGCCCCUCACCUUGGAGGACCUGGGCAUCUCGGGCCGACACCAGCGAUCAGCUCACCCCCCGGUCUCGAGACCCAGAACUAAGCUUUCCCCAUCCCGCCUGCUCUUGUCCAUGAGGCACCUUGAGUGGCCAACAGAGCUCCUCAGAACGUCUCAGGAGCAACCCAGAACCUGGCCCCACUCGAACAGGGUCACUUCUCCUGAGGCCUCUCCAACCUUGACACCAGGGCACCCCAGUCCCCUCACCCACCCCUGCAGGGCUGCGCCUCCAGAGGCUGCCCCUCACCUGACACCAGAGCACCCCAGCCCCCUCACUCUCUCCCACAGCACCGUGAGUCCAAUGAUUUCCCCAGAUCUGACACNNNNNNNNNNUGAGUCCAGCAAUUUCCCCAGAUCUGCCAUCUGGGCACCCCAGCCCCCUCACUCUCUCCCACAGCACUGUGAGUCCAGUGAUUUCCCCAGAUCUGACACCUGGGCACCCCAGCCCCCUCUCUCUUCCCCAUAGCACUGUGAGUCCAGAGGCCCUCCCAAAUCGGACACCAAAGUAUCCUAGCCUUCUUUCUUUUCCCCAUGGACCUGUAAUUCCAGAGGCCUCCCCAAGCCUGACACCAGGUUACCCCAACCUACAUACUGUCUCCAGCAAAACACUGGCUCCAGAAGCCUCCCCCUGCCUGACACGUGGGUGUCCCAGAGCCCUUAUUCUUUCCCACAGGGCUGUGACUCCAGAGACCUCCCCCAGCCAGACACCAGGGUACCCCAACUUCUCUGGUCCUUCCAGCCAGGCUGGGUUUCCCAACUUGAAAGUAGGACACCCCAACCCCUUGACUCUUUCUGGGAGUACUCAGACAUCAGGGAACCCUAACUCCUCCACUCUCUCCCAUAGUCCCCUGACUCCAGACCCCUCCUCCAGCUUCCCUUCUCUCUCCCAUAAUGGCAUAACUCCAGGAGCCCCCCCAAAUCUGACACUGGCAUACCCCUGCCCCCACACUCUUUCUAGCAAGACCAUAACUGCAAGGGCCUCCCCAAAACUGACACCAGUGUACUCUAGCCUCCACCCCUGCCCCAGCAAGAUUAAGGUUCCAGAGGCCUCCACCAACUUGAUGCCGGGCUGUUCUAGCCCCCUUACCCUUUCCCACAGGGAUGUGACUCCAGAAGUCUCUGCCAGCCUGGCACUGGGGUGCCCUCAAGGUGUACCGCAGUUCACCAGGGCCUUUGGCAUUCCCAAGACACAGGGCUCGGGUCAGUUCCCUGACACCAAGGAGCUGGGUGAUUUCAGCCUUCCCUCCUCUGGUGAGGGGCAUGGCGGGACUGCCCCUAACUUGUCUCCUGGGACCAGUGGGAUGAAUGUCUUUAGGACUGCCAACCCAGUUCCCUUCCCUCAGUCUGAUACAGCCCCCUACUCUGCAGUGGCUCUCCCCUCAGCAUUUCCCCAAGUCUUCUGUGAUAAGCUAUCCCUAUCUUCAGGGAGGGGCAUAGUCCUGGAGGUCCCCCACCAGGCUGUGCCA
Vombatus ursinus (common wombat) is the source of this 2508-nucleotide long non-coding RNA. The record is from Ensembl. Lineage: Eukaryota; Metazoa; Chordata; Mammalia; Diprotodontia; Vombatidae.